RNAcentral lists this ribosomal RNA (479 nucleotides) under uncultured bacterium. Its description in RNAcentral is "partial 16S ribosomal RNA". It matches the Rfam family "Bacterial small subunit ribosomal RNA", at positions 28 to 507 of the family's 1533-position model. The record is from RNAcentral.
GAUGAACGCUAGCGGGAGGCCUAACACAUGCAAGCCGAGCGGUAUUGUUUCUUCGGACAUGAGAGAGCGGCGUACGGGUGCGUAACACGUGUGCAACCUGCCUUUAUCUGGGGGAUAGCCUUUCGAAAGGAAGAUUAAUACUCCAUAAUAUAUUGAACGGCAUCGUUUAAUAUUGAAAGCUCCGGCGGAUAGAGAUGGGCACGCGCAAGAUUAGCUAGUUGGUGAGGUAACGGCUCACCAAGGCGAUGAUCUUUAGGGGGCCUGAGAGGGUGAUCCCCCACACUGGUACUGAGACACGGACCAGACUCCUACGGGAGGCAGCAGUGAGGAAUAUUGGUCAAUGGGUGCAAGCCUGAACCAGCCAUCCCGCGUGAAGGACGACUGCCCUAUGGGUUGUAAACUUCUUUUGUAUAGGGAUAAACCUACCCUCGUGAGGGUAGCUGAAGGUACUAUACGAAUAAGCACCGGCUAACUCCGUG